This 460-nucleotide ribosomal RNA is filed under the name uncultured bacterium. RNAcentral's name for it is "partial 16S ribosomal RNA". It matches the Rfam family "Bacterial small subunit ribosomal RNA", at positions 338 to 795 of the family's 1533-position model. The record is from RNAcentral.
CCUACGGGAGGCAGCAGUGAGGAAUAUUGGUCAAUGGACGAGAGUCUGAACCAGCCAAGUAGCGUGAAGGAUGACUGCCCUAUGGGUUGUAAACUUCUUUUAUAUGGGAAUAAAAUGUUCCACGUGUGGGAUUUUGUAUGUACCAUAUGAAUAAGGAUCGGCUAACUCCGUGCCAGCAGCCGCGGUAAUACGGAGGAUCCGAGCGUUAUCCGGAUUUAUUGGGUUUAAAGGGAGCGUAGGUGGAUUGUUAAGUCAGUUGUGAAAGUUUGUGGCUCAACCGUAAAAUUGCAGUUGAAACUGGCAGUCUUGAGUACAGUAGAGGUGGGCGGAAUUCGUGGUGUAGCGGUGAAAUGCUUAGAUAGCACGAAGAACUCCGAUUGCGAAGGCAGUUCACUGGACUGCAACUGACACUGAGGCUCGAAAGUGUGGGUAUCAAACAGGAUUAGAUACCCCGGUAGUC